This 226-nucleotide ribosomal RNA is filed under the name uncultured eukaryote. RNAcentral describes it as "partial 18S ribosomal RNA". It matches the Rfam family "Eukaryotic small subunit ribosomal RNA", at positions 1208 to 1456 of the family's 1831-position model. The record is from RNAcentral.
GGAAAACUUACCAGGUCCGGACAUAGUAAGGAUUGACAGAUUGAAGAUCUUUCUUGAUUCUAUGGAUGGUGGUGCAUGGCCGUUCUUAGUUGGUGGAGUGAUUUGUCUGGUUAAUUCCGUUAACGAACGAGACCUCAGCCUACUAACUAGUUUGUCUUAUUCUUAUAAGGCACAACUUCUUAGAGGGACUAUCGGAAAUCAAGCCGAUGGAGGUAUGAGGCAAUAA